RNAcentral lists this unclassified non-coding RNA (314 nucleotides) under plant metagenome. RNAcentral describes it as "partial contains 5.8S ribosomal RNA, internal transcribed spacer 2, and large subunit ribosomal RNA". The stretch from base 1 to 105 matches the Rfam family "5.8S ribosomal RNA", at positions 50 to 154 of the family's 154-position model. The record is from RNAcentral.
GAAAUGCGAUAAUUAAUGUGAAUUGCAGAAUUCAGUGAAUCAUCGAGUCUUUGAACGCACAUUGCGCCCCCUGGUAUUCUGGGGGGCAUGCCUGUCCGAGCGUCAUUGCUGCCCUCAAGCACGGCUUGUGUGUUGGGCUUCCGUCCCUGGCAACGGGGACGGGCCCAAAAGGCAGUGGCGGCACCAUGUCUGGUCCUCGAGCGUAUGGGGCUUUGUCACCCGCUCCCGUAGGUCCAGCUGGCAGCUAGCCUCGCAACCAAUCUUUUUAACCAGGUUGACCUCGGAUCAGGUAGGGAUACCCACUGAACUUAAGC